GAAUUAUCUACUCCAUCCGACUAGUUCCGGGUUCGAGUCCCGGGCAACCCAUAUAGAAAAGACCCAUCAAAGUUUUUAACUUUGACUCACUUCAUUUACAAAUACAAAAUUAUUGGUUUGGUUAAUUUAGUUAUAUGGAUAGCUAAUCUUUGGGCUGACUUGGUUGACAUUGGUAUAUAGUCUAUGUUAUACUGUUAAAUAACAAGCCUUCUAUUAUCUAUAUUCUAGUUAAUACGUGUGCUUGGGAGUCCUUGCAAUUUGAAUAAACCAAGAUCUUACCAUGACUGCAAUUUUAGAGAGACGCGAAAGUACAAGCCUGUGGGGUCGCUUCUGCAACUGGAUAACUAGCACUGAAAAUCGUCUUUACAUCGGAUGGUUCGGUGUUUUGAUGAUCCCUACCUUAUUGACCGCAACUUCUGUAUUUAUUAUCGCCUUCAUC
This 439-nucleotide ribosomal RNA is filed under the name Triticum aestivum (bread wheat). RNAcentral's name for it is "partial small subunit ribosomal RNA". The record is from RNAcentral. Lineage: Eukaryota; Viridiplantae; Streptophyta; Magnoliopsida; Poales; Poaceae.